GGAACUGCAUUCGAAACUGGCAGGCUUGAGUCUUGUAGAGGGGGGUAGAAUUCCAGGUGUAGCGGUGAAAUGCGUAGAGAUCUGGAGGAAUACCGGUGGCGAAGGCGGCCCCCUGGACAAAGACUGACGCUCAGGUGCGAAAGCGUGGGGAGCAAACAGGAUUAGAUACCCUGGUAGUCCACGCCGUAAACGAUGUCUACUUGGAGGUUGUGCCCUUGAGGCGUGGCUUCCGGAGCUAACGCGUUAAGUAGACCGCCUGGGGAGUACGGCCGCAAGGUUAAA
This 282-nucleotide ribosomal RNA is filed under the name Salmonella enterica subsp. enterica serovar Kentucky. RNAcentral's name for it is "partial 16S ribosomal RNA". It matches the Rfam family "Bacterial small subunit ribosomal RNA", at positions 617 to 898 of the family's 1533-position model. The record is from RNAcentral. Lineage: Bacteria; Pseudomonadati; Pseudomonadota; Gammaproteobacteria; Enterobacterales; Enterobacteriaceae.